UACGAAGGGGGCUAGCGUUGCUCGGAAUUACUGGGCGUAAAGGGCGCGUAGGCGGCCAUUUAAGUCAGGGGUGAAAUCCCAGAGCUCAACUCUGGAACUGCCUUUGAUACUGGGUGUCUUGAGUGUGAGAGAGGUAUGUGGAACUCCGAGUGUAGAGGUGAAAUUCGUAGAUAUUCGGAAGAACACCAGUGGCGAAGGCGACAUACUGGCUCAUUACUGACGCUGAGGCUCGAAAGCGUGGGGAGCAAACAGG
Molecule: ribosomal RNA, 253 nt
Filed under: uncultured bacterium
Lineage: Bacteria
Description: partial 16S ribosomal RNA
Rfam family: Bacterial small subunit ribosomal RNA
Source: RNAcentral